Molecule: long non-coding RNA, 598 nt
Filed under: Heterocephalus glaber (naked mole-rat)
Lineage: Eukaryota; Metazoa; Chordata; Mammalia; Rodentia; Bathyergidae
Description: lncRNA (ENSHGLG00000035170.1)
Source: RNAcentral
GUCAUAGUCACAGCUACUGAUUCACCUGCCUUCCUGUCUGGUUUUUGCGGGCCCUGGGAGGAAGUGUUUAUUGGCUCCUGAGUCACCAGCCCCUGCCACCUGCUGGCCUCUCCCCACAAGUGUCCCCCUUUCCAUGUUGCUUCCCCUUUGACCCUAGGAUUUCUGCUCUCUGUCUGUUCUCUGGGUGGCGCAGCCAAUCAGCUUGUGAGAUCAGAGACGUUGAGCUCUGGGAGCCACUGCUUGCCCUGUACCUCUCUGUGCCGUCCUGCCUCUGCCUGAGCAGGCCUGGCUGCUUCGAGGGGAUCCCAGGCCUCUUGCUCCAUGCUGGCUGCCAGGGUGGAGAGCAGCUCAACCUUCCUCCCAUGUGACAUUGGCCAUCAGAAGCCGGCUGCCAAUGGGUACAAGAUGGGACCAUGGCACCAGUGUGCCUCUGAGACAUGGGAUAGACACUCACUUCCUGCUUGCCAAGGUGGAUGUCGUUCUAGUUAUGCACAUGUAUAAGCAGGUGUGGGCCUUGUGUUGAGGAGGGAAGCCCUGUGUCCCAGGUUCUUACAUGCUGUCUGCUGAGAAGUCACUGCCCGGGGACUCCUAGCACCCA